UUAUCCGGAAUUAUUGGGCGUAAAGCGCGCGUAGGCGGUUUUUUAAGUCUGAUGUGAAAGCCCACGGCUCAACCGUGGAGGGUCAUUGGAAACUGGAAAACUUGAGUGCAGAAGAGGAAAGUGGAAUUCCAUGUGUAGCGGUGAAAUGCGCAGAGAUAUGGAGGAACACCAGUGGCGAAGGCGACUUUCUGGUCUGUAACUGACGCUGAUGUGCGAAAGCGUGG
Molecule: ribosomal RNA, 224 nt
Filed under: Brevibacterium casei
Lineage: Bacteria; Bacillati; Actinomycetota; Actinomycetes; Micrococcales; Brevibacteriaceae
Description: partial 16S ribosomal RNA
Rfam family: Bacterial small subunit ribosomal RNA
Source: RNAcentral